This 675-nucleotide ribosomal RNA is filed under the name Streptomyces wuyuanensis. RNAcentral's name for it is "bacterial SSU rRNA". It matches the Rfam family "Bacterial small subunit ribosomal RNA", at positions 62 to 752 of the family's 1533-position model. Lineage: Bacteria; Bacillati; Actinomycetota; Actinomycetes; Kitasatosporales; Streptomycetaceae. The record is from RNAcentral.
UCGAACGAUGAACCCGCUUCGGUGGGGGAUUAGUGGCGAACGGGUGAGUAACACGUGGGCAAUCUGCCCUGCACUCUGGGACAAGCCCUGGAAACGGGGUCUAAUACCGGAUACGACCACUGAGGGCAUCCUUGGUGGUGGAAAGCUCCGGCGGUGCAGGAUGAGCCCGCGGCCUAUCAGCUUGUUGGUGGGGUGAUGGCCUACCAAGGCGACGACGGGUAGCCGGCCUGAGAGGGCGACCGGCCACACUGGGACUGAGACACGGCCCAGACUCCUACGGGAGGCAGCAGUGGGGAAUAUUGCACAAUGGGCGAAAGCCUGAUGCAGCGACGCCGCGUGAGGGAUGACGGCCUUCGGGUUGUAAACCUCUUUCAGCAGGGAAGAAGCGAAAGUGACGGUACCUGCAGAAGAAGCGCCGGCUAACUACGUGCCAGCAGCCGCGGUAAUACGUAGGGCGCAAGCGUUGUCCGGAAUUAUUGGGCGUAAAGAGCUCGUAGGCGGCUUGUCGCGUCGGUUGUGAAAGCCCGGGGCUUAACCCCGGGUCUGCAGUCGAUACGGGCAGGCUAGAGUUCGGUAGGGGAGAUCGGAAUUCCUGGUGUAGCGGUGAAAUGCGCAGAUAUCAGGAGGAACACCGGUGGCGAAGGCGGAUCUCUGGGCCGAUACUGACGCUGAGGA